GCUUACGUCAUGUUUUACCAUGCACAUGUUUAAAUUUGUGGUCAAAUGUGUCACUCUUAUUUAAUGCAUUUGAAUUUCAGUCCUAGUUACCAAACCUUUUCUUAUAUUCCAGUUACAGAGGGAUUUAACCGUCUUUCCUUCUAGUUUUUUGGUCGUUUCAUUUCUUUGAUCAAUUUGGAAUUUUCUCUUAUAUGGUUAAGGAAUGGUUGGUUGGAGCUGAUUUUAUAAAUGUCUAAAUAACUGUUCACUUGUCCCAAUACAAUUUAUGAAAGAGCCCAUCUUUGCUUCUCCUUAUUCUGAAAUGAUUUGAGUUACCACGUUGGUCAUAUACUGCUUUCAAUAUAUAGUCGUGUCUAUUUCUGAACUUGUCUGCUGGUACAUUGGUCUACACAUGUAAUCGUACCACACUCUUUUAUUCGUGCAGACUUUCCAGUACAUUUUAAUAUCCCCUCAUAUCUUUUCCUUUGCUGUGGUUUCCCGUCUCUACUUGUGUGUUAUUUUUUGAUAGAAACUUUAGUAUCAGCUUGUCUAGUUUCAGAGAAAAAAACCAAACUUGUUUGUAUUUGGAUUGCAUUACAUUGACAAAUUGACUGAGGAAAAACUGACAUCUUCAUGAUGAGAUGUCCUAAUCAUGAACAAAGAAUGUCUGCAUUUGGUCAGGUCUACAUUUGUGUCUUUCAAGAGUGUCAGGGUUUUUAAAUGCAGAUUUUAAACAUUCAUUGAGUUUAUUCCUAAGUGUUUUUAAUCUUUUUGGUUGCUGUUGUGAUGAAAUUUUCCAUUAAAUCUUCUAAUUGGUUAUUAGCUGUAUAAAAAAGCCAUUGAUUUUUGCAUGUUAAUUUUAUUUCAGAAUGAUUUAAAUAAUAGUGAACAUGGUGGGCAUUGUUUCUUUGUUUUUCACCUUAUAUUGAACGGCUCUGAUAUUUCCCCAUUAAUUGACUUUAGGAUUGAGAUCUAGAGAGAUAAAAUUUAUAAUGCGAAGUAUUCAUUUAUUUCUGUUAACAAAUGGAUUUCCUAAUAUUGGAAUAUCCUUGCAUUCCUGGAAUAAAUAUCACUUUACUGUGUUUAUUUUUUCCUUAAUAUGUUUUUGGAGUAUACAGAAAUCCUAAAUAAAACAUGAACAUCAGCUUUCAUAAGUGCCGUUAGUCUGCAUUUUUAUUCUGCCCUAAUAAGGUUUAGAUAGCAGUAUAAUAUUUGCUUCAUAAGAACCUUGAAAGUUUUAUUUUCUAUUCCCUGAAACAGUUUAUGUAGCUUUGGUCCCCUGACUUCCAGAGUUUUGGUAGAAUUCCCCCGUGAAACCCUCUGGACCUGGUGCUCUUUUGCAGAGGUUUUUCUUUGGUAAGGUUUUCUGUUUAUCUCUGCUCUGGUCAGUUUUGGUAAGCUGUAUUUUUUUUUUUCCAGAAAUUGCCCAUUCCAUCUAGGUUUUCAGAUUUAUUUACAUAGAUGUCUUCAAUCUAUUUUUUGAAAUUUCCUCCACAUAGUUUUUCUUCUUUGUUUUAUUUUAGUAUAUUUUUUGAUUCUUUCUGCUUUGUCAGCAUGUAUAAAAUGUACAUUCUGCUCAUUUAACCAUGUUCCCACCUUUGUCUUAGUCCUGUAUUUAAAUGUAUUAAAUGCUCACCCUUAGUUUUUUUGCUGGAGAUUUCCCAGGGAUCCCUUGGUCAGAUGAAAUUCAUCCAGUAAAUUCUUUGAAUUUACUUGCGUUUAUUGUAUUACUCAGUUCUUGCAUAUUCACACUGUUUGUGUGUUUGUCUUUUGUAGACUUAAUAUUUCAAGGAAUGCUUGGCUCCCAUAUUCUUUAAUUUCUUGAAAAUUCUUCUCUGCUCCAUGGUUGUCUUUGUGUGUGUGUGUGUGUGUAUGCUUUUCAAGUCUAAUUUUAUUGCUUUUUAAAGUAAUUUGACUUUUGUACUCUUAAGAGUUUUUCCCCUGUCUUUAAACUCUAGUGUUUCUACGAAGGUGGGUCUUAAAGUAGAUUGUUCUAGGUCAGCUUCUCCAGGUAAACAGUGGACCCUUUCAAGAUGCUGGUUUAGAUUUUCUUUUAUUUCUGGAAAGAGGUCUUGAACAAUGGUUUUAAGUAUUCUGCUCCAUGGUUUUUGUUGCCUUAAAGGACUCCAGUUAUACAGUGUUGGAUCUCUUGUGUGUCUUACACUUCAUGCACUCUCUUCUGAUGCUUUAUUCGCUCUUUAUUUCAUUUUCAUUCUCUUUUUUCCCUACCUUUCUUCAAUGUCUUGGGUUUUGUUUUUUUUUUUUUCUUUCACACAAAUCCAUUCUUUCUUGAGCAUUUUGUAAUUUAUUCUUAAUUUUAGAAAUGGUUUUAUCCAUUUUAUUUUUUGAGAUCAGUUCUUGUUGCAUUUCUUCCUGGAAUUUUGUUCAUUUCUGUUUUUAGAUUUUGAAUUUUGGGGUCUAGGUGAUUCUGGCUUUUGUUUUUAAUGUCUUCAGAUACUUAUUUGAAGAUAUUUAAUUUAAUUUGAAAUACUGCUUUACAAUUUUCUAAAAUUGCAUGGUAUUUGGUGUGUUUUGUCAUUAUUUCUUCAUGGGGAGAGUGUUCAUUAGCUGAUGUGAUUUGCAUUUUUUGUUUUCUUGUUUCAGUAGCUCUUUGUGGAAUUGGCUUGAUUUUUUUUUCCCCCUCCUGUUUCUAGGCAUUUUGUGGGCAAGGUUUUUAGUUUGUAAAUGCCUUCUCUCAAAAUAGUGAAGGACAUUUUGGGAGUUCCCGUCAUGGCGCAGUGGUUAACGAAUGCAACUAGGCGACUAGGAACCAUGAGGUUGCGGGUUCGGUCCCUGCCCUUGCUCAGUGGGUCGGGGACCUGGCGUUGCCGUGAGCCGGGGUGUAGGUUGCAGACGCGGCUUGGAUCCACCGUUGCUGUGGCUCUGGCGUAGGCCGGUUGCUAUAGCUCCGAUUCGACCCCUAGCCUGGGAACCUCCAUAUGCCGCGGGAACAGCCCAAGAAAUACCAAAAAG
RNAcentral lists this long non-coding RNA (2952 nucleotides) under Sus scrofa (pig). RNAcentral's name for it is "lncRNA (ENSSSCG00055000867.1)". The record is from RNAcentral. Lineage: Eukaryota; Metazoa; Chordata; Mammalia; Artiodactyla; Suidae.